Molecule: unclassified non-coding RNA, 1189 nt
Filed under: Hevea brasiliensis (rubber tree)
Lineage: Eukaryota; Viridiplantae; Streptophyta; Magnoliopsida; Malpighiales; Euphorbiaceae
Source: RNAcentral
UUCGUCAGCUACAUCGAUACAUCCCCCUUCACCUAAAAGAAAAAUAAUAAUCUUGAAAAUCCCAAAUUAAUUCUCUUUUUUCUGACUGUAGCAAACCAAGAAUCUACAGAUUUCACUCAUUUUUGACUCACUUGUGGUGAUCACUGAAUUAGUUCAGAGGAAAAAAAAAAUGCCUGCUUGGUGGGGGAAAAAAUCCACCAAGAACAAAGACCUGCAAGCUAAAGAGAAAGAAAGGGAGAAGUAUGUAAAACCCAGAAGUUUUGAUGAGUUACUUAGUAGAAAUUCACCAAGAACCAGUAAAGAUUUUAGUGGUUCUGGUUCUGGGUUUUCUGGGUUUGAUUCAGGUUCUUCUUUGGAGAAAGCUCAUCCUUUGCCUAUGCCUUCUGUUUCUUCACUGGGAAAUGAUCAUGGGGUUGUUUUAGGAUGUGGGUCGGUUUCAGUUUCCAGUACUAGCUCAUCUGGGUCAUCUGAUGGCGGUGGUCCUGUAAAUACUGAUCAAGCUCAGUUGGAUACUUUCAGAGGACUUGGAGAUAAUAGGUUGAGCCCACUGUCACGAAGCCCAGUUCGUUCCAGAGGGACAACUACCACAUCAUCACCUUUACAUCCUCGGUUUUCGAGUUUAAAUCUGGACUCUUCAACGGGCAAGUUGGAUGAUGUAAGGAGUGAAUGUCAUCAGCUGCCCCUUCCACCCGGUUCUCCACCCAGUCCUUCUGCUUUGCCAAACCCAAGACCUUGUGUUGUGGCUGAAGGCGCAAACGUUAAUAUGUCAAAAUGGAAGAAAGGCAGGCUCCUAGGAAGAGGCACGUUUGGUCAUGUGUAUCUUGGAUUCAACAGGGAGAAUGGACAAAUGUGUGCGAUAAAAGAAGUCAAGGUGGUUUCAGAUGAUCAAACAUCCAAAGAGUGUCUUAAGCAACUGAAUCAGGAAAUCAUUUUACUCAGUAACUUGACACAUCCAAAUAUUGUUCGAUAUCAUGGAAGUGAACUGGAUGAAGAAACUCUAUCAGUUUACUUGGAGUACGUUUCUGGGGGUUCUAUACAUAAACUGUUGCAGGAAUAUGGGCCUUUUAGGGAGCCAGUUAUACAAAACUACACAAGACAGAUCCUUUCUGGCCUUUCCUUUUUACAUGCUAGGAAUACAGUUCACAGGGAUAUAAAAGGAGCCAAUAUACUAGUAGAUCCUAAUGGUGAA